CCUUUUAAUUUCAACACCACCCCUAACCAGCCCAACAUUGCAACAACACUGCUCAGCUCAACUCCUAUCUAUCUGACCCAGACCAUAUCUGCCUAUCACAUCUUCUCAACAACAACAACCUUCAACACACAAUACAUCAUAGCGUCCAAACUCCAAACAAUGACAACAAUGAAAUCCCGAUCAAAAGCCAGAAACAAUAGCAACCUCAAUAGCUUCGAUCGAUCCUAGCCCCGACCCGAUGAAAAACCAACCUCAACCCGUUCCUUUUCCCCUCGUAUGAGUCGCGUGCUCCCCACGCAAUGGUGUACCAUAAAAAGUCCAAGAACAUUCUAGAAACUGUGCCAAGGUGGUCUCCCAACGGAAAAUUUGUUAUUUCUGGGAUGGAUUUGUACGAAUUCGUAAAGAGGUGUACGAAUUUCACUGGUUUUAAGGGAAUUUCAAUUUUCCCCAUUCCUAUUGGUCAAACCCAUUCAAAAUUCUCCAAAAAAAUCCAAAAUCAUCACAAGAUUAAGGGGGAAAUUUAGUUAUCAUUCAAAAUUUGGAACAUAUUUCAAUUGGCCAUCCCGAAAUUGCCCCCCAUUUUACUUUUUCCCACAUCGAUUAAACACUGAAGGGGGAGCCUAAUCUUCUUCUAUAGAAGUGACUCAAAACCAGAAGAAAGAUAAGUCUCGAGUGGUUAAAAAGAUCUUUUGAGCAAAGAUAGUCUCUUCUUAGUAAAAAAAAAGAUUUUGAAAAGUUGGUCGGCUAAUUGGAGGUUCACGAGUCGACGACGAUUAUCUACGGUGGUGGUAAACUCUAACAAAGUUCAAAGUAUCGUUUUGCUGCCCAAGAAUCGGUAGUCGUUGCUGUAGAGGCUUUGAGAGCCUUAGGGUAUCGCGAAGAGGAUUGCAAUUGUUGUUUGAGAUGAGAAGUUUGUCAUUCUUGAUUUGACGAUCUUUAGUUAGUUUUUUAAGUUCACCUUUCUGCUUUGGAUGAUAUUUCUUUUGGCAUAAAAUCUGUGUUCAUUAUGUUCUUUCGAUUUAGCAUAAUCGUCAUCUCUAAAUUCGAUACUUUCAAUCAAAUGUAUGCCCAUUUUGCUUUAAUCUAUUUUGUCAUAGCUUUAAGUUUUGAUUGCCUCUUUCUAGCUUGAAUUUCCUUUAUUUCUGUUUGUUCAUGGAUAGAUUUGACUUUAAUUGUUGUAGUUUGGAUUAGUUUCUUCAAGUUUAAUCGACAUUGUAGUAUCCUUGUUUUCUUUGGGUCAAUAGUAAUUGUCGUCUAAGCGUUCCUGGACUCUAAUUGACAAAUAGUAGUAAUGGACCCCUUUAGGGUAUUUAGAUAUUUCAAUUUAUUGACUUGUUGAGAAAGGAUAGAAUAGGCUUUAAGCGACUCAAAAUUUGGCAUUUUACAAUGUUCUUUUCACUUAGCCUACUCUAUUUUAUUUAAGUAGAAUCGUCUCAGUUUGUUUGAAUGAAGCAGAUAUGUAGCUACCCUCGAGCUGUUCAGCUUUUUCUGUACAAAAAUUUUCUAGCUUCUCUUGUUUUUGAUGUAUUGAUUUUCUUUGUCGUUGUGGUCGUUUUCUGAGAACUCGUAUGUGAUAGAAAAUCUAGCAUGCUUACGUCUUUAGUGCAAACUGGUUUAUCGUUGUUGUAAGUAAAAGAUGCAUUUUCAGAUGUUCCAUGUAUGAUAUAACCUGAAACCUUGGUUUAGUAUAAUACUUUAUUUUUUUUACAAAUUAAAAUCCUACUCAUAUAUAUAUUGACUUACUUCUCUAAUUUGUUUUGUUAGAACUAUUACCUAAUAGUUUGAAGUGUUUAAUGCUAAUUCGGUAUAUUGAGUCCCUUUCUUGACAGUGUGCUGAUGUGAUAAGAAUAUAUAUCUUUGCCAUGGUAUGGUAAUUAAGGGGGUCUUUCUUUGUAAGUCUUUUUCUCAAUACACGUUGUUGCUUAUGCAUAUUAAGUCUCUACGAUGUUUUAAUUAGUUUAAAGUGUGUUGUUUCUACAUAUCUAAAUUGUCAUUCCAAUUUAGUUAGGAAGAUGGCACAUGUUUUUGCCUUUAUGAUCUGUUUUCAUCAUUUUAUAAGGAAUACUGGAAUAUAAGACCCAACCCUUUUUGCAUAUACUCUUUCUUUGUUUAAUUGAUAUGAUUGUGUCUUUUUAUGUCCAAUCCGUUUUUGACUAUCUGUUAGGAUCCCAGUUACUUAGUGUAUAUUAUUAGCACGUAUUAAUUCUCUUUAUAUUCUUUCCUGAGUCGGUUAUGUAUUAACUACAUUUAAAUUUCUUCUGUUUUAGAUGAACUUGUAAGUUUGAAUCGAUACGAAUGUCUUACUAUCUUUAAUCGACUUUUGAUUAUUUAAGAUUAUAAUACGUUGCCAUUUUUAGUUAAAUCCACAUUAGUUUUCGUCUAGUUUUUCCUCUCUUUGAUGGAUUUUGUGUUAACUAAUUUGAAUUUUUUCGUGGUUGGCUAUGUGUUAAUUUUACUUCUCUUUCCCUUCGUUAAUCAUGUAUUAAUGUUCUUUAUCUUUAUUGUUUUGCAUGAAAACCCGUUGGAGUCCAAACAGACUCGCUGCAUUCCACAAUAGGCCAAUGAGGCCCAUCUUUUGAGUCAAGCCCGAAAGAAAGUCUAACGUCUGUUACAUAGCGCGUGGAUAAGAGUUGUCAAAAGAAGAAGAAUGGGUUAAAGUCCCAUUUUUUGAAGUAGCCAAGAGAAUUGAAAGUCUCAUUUUAUUUCUUAUUGUUGUCUUUUUAUUAUUCGUUUAUUUUUUCCAUUAUUUAUUUAUCUGGGCUUCGAAGCUAAAUUUAUAAAUUAAUACAGGUGAAGCAGGUUGUGGCCAAAAAAGCUCAAAAAUAUAGUUUAGGAUAGAUUAUGGGCUAAAGCCCAAUAUCUAGAUUAGGACAGGUGAAAAUGAGCUUAGAUUAGGACAAGUGAUGAGUGAUGAUUUUUACCACUUAUUCUCACUAAACAUUUGUGUUCAUUACCUUGUUUUUAAUAAAUGAAUUAGACAUAUUCAUGAGUAAAUGCACUAAUAUCCAUUCUUUGAGGGCAUAGAGUUGAGGAGAUCAAAAGAUGUGGAUAGGGGCUAAAAUGAUCAAAAGGGAGCAAAGAAGAGUGCAGCAAAAGACCUGGACUAUAGGUCGCGGUCAGCAUAAUGCGGUCGCGGCCACGAAUAGCCAUGCGCAAUCGUGGUUCAGCGAGAAUAUGCCCAGGGGUAGAUCUGUAAAAGUACUUAAACGCAUCUCAAGCCAUAUUUAAGCAAAACCUCAUUCUUCUUUAGGUAUUGCUUUGCUCAUAAGAUAUUUUGAACUCAAGACUUGAAACCCUAAUAGUGCAAGUGUGUAAUUAACUUUGGAGGCUAAAUUUCUUAGGAUUUUUGUGAAGAAUGAAUGAUUUGGAUAAUCCUUAUGGUA
Molecule: long non-coding RNA, 3383 nt
Organism: Capsicum annuum
Lineage: Eukaryota; Viridiplantae; Streptophyta; Magnoliopsida; Solanales; Solanaceae
Exons: 2
Source: RefSeq, a predicted model, not a curated record